RNAcentral lists this ribosomal RNA (253 nucleotides) under uncultured bacterium. RNAcentral describes it as "partial 16S ribosomal RNA". It matches the Rfam family "Bacterial small subunit ribosomal RNA", at positions 524 to 776 of the family's 1533-position model. The record is from RNAcentral.
GACAGAGGCCUCGAGCGUUAGGCGGAAUCACUGGGCUUAAAGCGUGCGUAGGUGGUUUGUUAAGUCUGAUGUGAAAGCCCUGGGCUCAACCUGGGAAUUGCAUUGGAUACUGGCAGGCUAGAGUGCGGUAGGGGAUGGCGGAAUUCCCGGUGUAGCAGUGAAAUGCGUAGAGAUCGGGAGGAACACCCAGGGGGAAACCAGCCGACUGGGCAUCUACUGACGCUGAGGUGCGAGAGCGUGGGGAGCGAACCGG